CCUUGUACACACCGCCCGUCAAGCCAUGGGAGCCGGGAGUGCCCGAUGUCGCCUAGCUAACCGCAAGGAGGCUGGCGCCUAAGGUAAAACCGGUGACUGGGGCU
RNAcentral lists this ribosomal RNA (104 nucleotides) under uncultured bacterium. Its description in RNAcentral is "partial 16S ribosomal RNA". It matches the Rfam family "Bacterial small subunit ribosomal RNA", at positions 1379 to 1482 of the family's 1533-position model. The record is from RNAcentral.